AUUGAACGCUGGCGGCAUGCCUUACACAUGCAAGUCGAACGGCAGCAUGAUCUAGCUUGCUAGAUUGAUGGCGAGUGGCGAACGGGUGAGUAAUACAUCGGAACGUGCCCUGUAGUGGGGGAUAACUAGUCGAAAGAUUAGCUAAUACCGCAUACGACCUGAGGGUGAAAGUGGGGGACCGCAAGGCCUCAUGCUAUAGGAGCGGCCGAUGUCUGAUUAGCUAGUUGGUGAGGUAAAGGCUCACCAAGGCGACGAUCAGUUGCUGGUCUGAGAGGACGAUCAGCCACACUGGGACUGAGACACGGCCCAGACUCCUACGGGAGGCAGCAGUGGGGAAUUUUGGACAAUGGGCGAAAGCCUGAUCCAGCAAUGCCGCGUGUGUGAAGAAGGCCUUCGGGUUGUAAAGCACUUUUGUCCGGAAAGAAAUGGCUCUGGUUAAUACCUGGGGUCGAUGACGGUACCGGAAGAAUAAGGACCGGCUAACUACGUG
RNAcentral lists this ribosomal RNA (490 nucleotides) under uncultured bacterium. RNAcentral describes it as "partial 16S ribosomal RNA". It matches the Rfam family "Bacterial small subunit ribosomal RNA", at positions 30 to 507 of the family's 1533-position model. The record is from RNAcentral.